UGGGGAAUCUUCCGCAAUGGACGAAAGUCUGACGGAGCAACGCCGCGUGAGUGAAGACGUCCUUCGGGUUGUAAAGCUCUGUGAUCCGGGUCGAAAGAGCCUGAGGUAAAUAGCCUAAGGAAGUGACGGUACCGGAAAAGCAAGCCACGGCUAACUACGUGCCAGCAGCCGCGGUAAUACGUAGGUGGCAAGCGUUGUCCGGAAUUAUUGGGCGUAAAGCGCGCGCAGGCGGCUUACUAAGUCCAUCUGAAAAGUGCGGGGCUUAACCACGUGAUGGGAUGGAAACUGGAAAGCUGGAGUAUCGGAGAGGAAAGUGGAAUUCCUAGUGUAGCGGUGAAAUGCGUAGAGAUUAGGAAGAACACCGGUGGCGAAGGCGACUUUCUGAACGAAAACUGACGCUGAGGCGCGAAAGCGUGGGGAGCAAACAGG
This 429-nucleotide ribosomal RNA is filed under the name Fusobacteriota bacterium. Its description in RNAcentral is "Fusobacteria bacterium partial 16S ribosomal RNA". It matches the Rfam family "Bacterial small subunit ribosomal RNA", at positions 355 to 776 of the family's 1533-position model. Lineage: Bacteria; Fusobacteriati; Fusobacteriota. The record is from RNAcentral.